GAUUCAAAAGAAGAUAUCCAUUAAAAACAAUAAGUUCAUACAACUCCAAGAACAUAAAAUAAAAUAUAAAACCCAUGUCCCUGUGUUAGGGCUGCAUCCAGCCCUAGAGAGGAGAUCAGCCUUCCAUGGAGUUGGAGACGGCAGCAGCAGCACAGCAGCGGGCUCCCAUCUCUCCCUCUUUCUUUAUUUUUUUCUUUGGGAAAUCAUUCCCAGAAUGACCCAAACUUUUCUCUCCCUCCUCUGUUUCCUGUGGGACUGCCACCCGAGUCGAGAUUGCCGAAGAGAAGUUGGGAGCAGCCCCCGGUGGGGGAAGAGGGAAUGCCUCUAGCCUGCAUGCAUUGAUUCCCUUUUAUAGCCUUCACAGCCUCUGUUAUCACGCAGGGGAUAAGGAUGAAAUGAAGCGAGAUGCGGUUGAAGCUGGGGUGAUUCUCGGAGUUGUAGCUUAUCCCGUUGACGUGAAUCCAGGGAAUGAAGGAGGCGAGCUUCUUCAACGCGUGGGAGAAGAUUCUGGAUGCGGCCGAGACAUGGAAAUUGUCGACGUGGAUGCAGGGGACUAUGCUCUCGGCUGAAGCAUGGGAAAAC
RNAcentral lists this long non-coding RNA (582 nucleotides) under Phoenix dactylifera (date palm). Its description in RNAcentral is "long non-coding RNA (PDAC_LNC013124)". Lineage: Eukaryota; Viridiplantae; Streptophyta; Magnoliopsida; Arecales; Arecaceae. The record is from RNAcentral.